This 491-nucleotide ribosomal RNA is filed under the name uncultured bacterium. Its description in RNAcentral is "partial 16S ribosomal RNA". It matches the Rfam family "Bacterial small subunit ribosomal RNA", at positions 29 to 507 of the family's 1533-position model. The record is from RNAcentral.
GUGAACGCUGGCGGUAGGCCUAACACAUGCAAGUCGAACGGCAGCACAGUAAGAGCUUGCUCUUACGGGUGGCGAGUGGCGGACGGGUGAGGAAUACAUCGGAAUCUACUUUUUCGUGGGGGAUAACGUAGGGAAACUUACGCUAAUACCGCAUACGACCUACGGGUGAAAGCAGGGGAUCUUCGGACCUUGCGCGAUUGAAUGAGCCGAUGUCGGAUUAGCUAGUUGGCGGGGUAAAGGCCCACCAAGGCGACGAUCCGUAGCUGGUCUGAGAGGAUGAUCAGCCACACUGGAACUGAGACACGGUCCAGACUCCUACGGGAGGCAGCAGUGGGGAAUAUUGGACAAUGGGCGCAAGCCUGAUCCAGCCAUACCGCGUGGGUGAAGAAGGCCUUCGGGUUGUAAAGCCCUUUUGUUGGGAAAGAAAAGCAGCAGGUUAAUACCCCGCUGUUCUGACGGUACCCAAAGAAUAAGCACCGGCUAACUUCGUG